RNAcentral lists this ribosomal RNA (440 nucleotides) under uncultured bacterium. Its description in RNAcentral is "bacterial SSU rRNA". It matches the Rfam family "Bacterial small subunit ribosomal RNA", at positions 79 to 518 of the family's 1533-position model. The record is from RNAcentral.
CAAUACUUGGUGGCGACCGGCGCACGGGUGAGUAACGCGUAUGCAACCUACCUAUCAGAGGGGAAUAACCCGGCGAAAGUCGGACUAAUACCGCAUAAAACAGGGGCACCGCAUGGUGAUAUUUGUUAAAGAAAUUCGCUGAUAGAUGGGCAUGCGUUCCAUUAGGUAGUUGGUGAGGUAACGGCUCACCAAGCCGACGAUGGAUAGGGAACUGAGAGGUUGGUCCCCCACACUGGUACUGAGACACGGACCAGACUCCUACGGGAGGCAGCAGUGAGGAAUAUUGGUCAAUGGGCGGGAGCCUGAACCAGCCAAGUCGCGUGAAGGAAGAAGGAUCUAUGGUUCGUAAACUUCUUUUGCAGGGGAAUAAAGUGCAGGACGUGUCCUGUUUUGUAUGUACUCUGCGAAUAAGGAUCGGCUAACUCCGUGCCAGCCGCGGC